Molecule: ribosomal RNA, 562 nt
Filed under: Salmonella enterica
Lineage: Bacteria; Pseudomonadati; Pseudomonadota; Gammaproteobacteria; Enterobacterales; Enterobacteriaceae
Description: partial 23S ribosomal RNA
Rfam family: Bacterial large subunit ribosomal RNA
Source: RNAcentral
UUGACUGCGAGCGUGACGGCGCGAGCAGGUGCGAAAGCAGGUCAUAGUGAUCCGGUGGUUCUGAAUGGAAGGGCCAUCGCUCAACGGAUAAAAGGUACUCCGGGGAUAACAGGCUGAUACCGCCCAAGAGUUCAUAUCGACGGCGGUGUUUGGCACCUCGAUGUCGGCUCAUCACAUCCUGGGGCUGAAGUAGGUCCCAAGGGUAUGGCUGUUCGCCAUUUAAAGUGGUACGCGAGCUGGGUUUAGAACGUCGUGAGACAGUUCGGUCCCUAUCUGCCGUGGGCGCUGGAGAACUGAGGGGGGCUGCUCCUAGUACGAGAGGACCGGAGUGGACGCAUCACUGGUGUUCGGGUUGUCAUGCCAAUGGCACUGCCCGGUAGCUAAAUGCGGAAGAGAUAAGUGCUGAAAGCAUCUAAGCACGAAACUUGCCCCGAGAUGAGUUCUCCCUGAGACUUAAAGUCUCCUGAAGGAACGUUGAAGACGACGACGUUGAUAGGCCGGGUGUGUAAGCGCAGCGAUGCGUUGAGCUAACCGGUACUAAUGAACCGUGAGGCUUAACCUU